GUUUCUUACAUCGAUCCUUCUCAAAAGUUCACAUUGGAACACAGAUAUGAUUCACAUUUAUAGAAACACUGUCACGAGUCAUUCAACAGGAUAAUCAAGCAAAACAUGUACAAUGAGAUAGGAACAAUCCAAUUUCUAAGCGGAUGACAUCCAAUGAUGAAGGAAAUGAUUUAAAUCAAAGAAGGCAUCAAAAUAA
Long non-coding RNA from Mytilus trossulus (common blue mussel), 196 nucleotides. RefSeq lists it as uncharacterized. The record is from RefSeq and is a predicted model, not a curated record. NCBI's taxonomy places the organism in Eukaryota, Metazoa, Mollusca, Bivalvia, Mytilida, Mytilidae. The transcript has 2 exons.